CAGGGUGUGACUGAACAGGAAAGUGUCUCCCUUACACUGAGAAAUUGCCCGUGCAAAUCGGGCCGCCUUGA
Molecule: transfer RNA, 71 nt
Filed under: Stathmonotus gymnodermis
Lineage: Eukaryota; Metazoa; Chordata; Actinopteri; Blenniiformes; Labrisomidae
Description: tRNA-Val
Rfam family: tRNA
About the family: Transfer RNA (tRNA) molecules are approximately 80 nucleotides in length.
Source: RNAcentral